RNAcentral lists this ribosomal RNA (802 nucleotides) under uncultured bacterium. RNAcentral describes it as "bacterial SSU rRNA". It matches the Rfam family "Bacterial small subunit ribosomal RNA", at positions 48 to 889 of the family's 1533-position model. The record is from RNAcentral.
GCUACACAUGCAGUCGUACGAGAGUUUUUAACUCAAGUGGCGGACGGGUGAGUAACACGUGAGAAUUUACCUUUAGGAGGGGGACAACAAUUGGAAACGAUUGCUAAUACCCCAUAUGCUCUAGAGUGAAACGGAUUUUUCCGCCUAAAGAAAAGCUCGCGGCUGAUUAGCUUGUUGGUAAGGUAAUGGCUUACCAAGGCGACGAUCAGUAUCUGGUUUGAGAGGACGAUCAGACACACUGGAACUGAGACACGGUCCAGACUCCUACGGGAGGCAGCAGUGGGGAAUUUUCCGCAAUGGGCGAAAGCCUGACGGAGCAAUACCGCGUGAGGGAAGACGGCCUAUGGGUUGUAAACCUCUUUUUUCAGGGAGGAACAAAAUGACGUGUACCUGAAGAAUAAGCAUCGGCUAACUCCGUGCCAGCAGCCGCGGUAAGACGGAGGAUGCAAGUGUUAUCCGGAAUCACUGGGCGUAAAGCGUCUGUAGGUGGUUUGUUAAGUCAACUGUUAAAUCUUGAGGCUCAACUUCAAAUCAGCAGUCGAAACUAUCAGACUAGAGUAUAGUAGGGGUAAAGGGAAUUUCCAGUGGAGCGGUGAAAUGCGUAGAUAUUGGAAAGAACACCGAUGGCGAAGGCACUUUACUGGGCUAUUACUAACACUCAGAGACGAAAGCUAGGGUAGCAAAUGGGAUUAGAUACCCCAGUAGUCCUAGCUGUAAACAAUGGAUACUAGAUGUUGAACAGAUCGACCUGUGCAGUAUUAAAGCUAACGCGUUAAGUAUCCCGCCUGGGAAGUAUGCUCGC